RNAcentral lists this ribosomal RNA (427 nucleotides) under uncultured bacterium. Its description in RNAcentral is "partial 16S ribosomal RNA". It matches the Rfam family "Bacterial small subunit ribosomal RNA", at positions 355 to 774 of the family's 1533-position model. The record is from RNAcentral.
UGGGGAAUAUUGCACAAUGGGCGCAAGCCUGAUGCAGCCAUGCCGCGUGUAUGAAGAAGGCCUUCGGGUUGUAAAGUACUUUCAGCGGGGAGGAAGGUGUUGAGGCUAAUAACCUCAGCAAUUGACGUUACCCGCAGAAGAAGCACCGGCUAACUCCGUGCCAGCAGCCGCGGUAAUACGGAGGGUGCAAGCGUUAAUCGGAAUUACUUGGCGUAAAGCGCACGCAGGCGGUCUGUCAAGUCGGAUGUGAAAUCCCCGGGCUCAACCUGGGAACUGCAUUCGAAACUGGCAGGCUAGAGUCUUGUAGAGGGGGGUAGAAUUCCAGGUGUAGCGGUGAAAUGCGUAGAGAUCUGGAGGAAUACCGGUGGCGAAGGCGGCCCCCUGGACAAAGACUGACGCUCGGGUGCGAAAGCGUGGGGAGCAAACA